UUAUGUACCUGGCAGGGGUAAUAUCGUGAUCAAGGAGACGGUUUGCCCAAAGCAAGGCUCACCCAUUGCAUUCGGGUUGUGCUGACCUUUGCGAAUUCCCCAAAUGCAGGAAUCUUGACUGCAUUAAUUUCUGAUAACAGGGGAUUGCAUUUGCACUCUCCCU
Small nuclear RNA from Tachysurus fulvidraco (yellow catfish), 163 nucleotides. RefSeq annotates it as U1 spliceosomal RNA. Lineage: Eukaryota; Metazoa; Chordata; Actinopteri; Siluriformes; Bagridae. The transcript has a single exon. The record is from RefSeq and is a predicted model, not a curated record.